GACGAACGCUGGCGGCGUGCUUAACACAUGCAAGUCGAACGAAGUGGCGCACGGGUGAGUAACGCGUAAUCAACCUGCACUUACGAGGGGGACAACAGUUGGAAACGACUGCUAAUCCCGCAUACUGUCGGAGGGGCUUGCGUCUGAUUAGCUCGGUGGCGGGGUAACGGCCCACGAAGGCGAUGCUCAGUAGCCGGUCUGAGAGGAUGAACGGCCACAGUGGGACGGAGACACGGCCCAGACUCCUACGGGAGGCAGCAGUGGGUAAUCUUACGCAAUGGACGAAAGUCUGACGGAGCAACGCCGCGUGAGUGAUGACGGCCUUCGGGUUGUAAAGCUCUGUUAAUCGGGACGCGGUACCGGAAUAGAAAGCCACGGCUAACUACGUGCCAGCAGCCGCGGUAAUUC
This 408-nucleotide ribosomal RNA is filed under the name uncultured bacterium. RNAcentral's name for it is "partial 16S ribosomal RNA". It matches the Rfam family "Bacterial small subunit ribosomal RNA", at positions 28 to 526 of the family's 1533-position model. The record is from RNAcentral.